GUUCUGGCUCCUUGGCAGCAAUGGCUGUAUUUGAAGAUAAGUUUAGGCCAGACAUGGAGGACAAAUGCACAGCUCUUCCAUGGUCACUGUCGCAGGAAUGUUGAAUAUGCCUGGAUCCAUCAUGGUACCACGUUACUCCUCCACGGCACUACAUCUGGCCGCUAAACCAGCAUUCAGCACAUAAGCUUUUUUGAUGGUUGUUAAUUUUUUGAUGGAGAGUAUCAACUUCUUUUCAACAAUUAAUAGGUAGUUUAUGAGUGGUUUACCCUAUUUCUUAGUAUGUAGGUUUUUGCCAUUUCUGACUUCGCAGUAUUGUUUAGGGACCAGAGGGUGUCUCUGGGAAUUGCUUUUUGACAGUGCCUUAUGUCCAGUCAUCUUUGGAAAAGAU
RNAcentral lists this small RNA (388 nucleotides) under Pan troglodytes (chimpanzee). RNAcentral's name for it is "processed transcript". The record is from RNAcentral. Lineage: Eukaryota; Metazoa; Chordata; Mammalia; Primates; Hominidae.